GGGCGCUUGGUCUAGGGGUAUGAUUUUCGCUUCGCAUUUCCGCACUCAGCGGCUUGCGCCUUUGUGAAAGGUCGUGGGUUCAAUUCCCACAGUGUCCA
RNAcentral lists this transfer RNA (98 nucleotides) under Colletotrichum orbiculare MAFF 240422. RNAcentral's name for it is "tRNA-Ala for anticodon CGC". It matches the Rfam family "tRNA". From Rfam's summary of the family: Transfer RNA (tRNA) molecules are approximately 80 nucleotides in length. Their secondary structure includes four short double-helical elements and three loops (D, anti-codon, and T loops). Lineage: Eukaryota; Fungi; Ascomycota; Sordariomycetes; Glomerellales; Glomerellaceae. The record is from Rfam by way of RNAcentral.